CUCAUGGCUUUAAGCUAAAAGGCGCUUCGGCGUCACUACAGGAUGGGCCCGCGGUGCAUUAGCUAGUUGGUGGGGUAACGGCCUACCAAGGCAACGAUGCAUAGCCGACCUGAGAGGGUGAUCGGCCACAUUGGGACUGAGACACGGCCCAAACUCCUACGGGAGGCAGCAGUAGGGAAUCUUCCACAAUGGACGAAAGUCUGAUGGAGCAACGCCGCGUGAGUGAUGAAGGUUUUCGGAUCGUAAAACUCUGUUGUAAGGGAAGAACAAGUGCGUUAGGUAAUGAACGCACCUUGACGGUACCUUAUUAGAAAGCCACGGCUAACUACGUGCCAGCAGCCGCGGUAAUACGUAGGUGGCAAGCGUUGUCCGGAUUUAUUGGGCGUAAAGCGCGCGCAGGUGGUUUCUUAAGUCUGAUGUGAAAGCCCACGGCUCAACCGUGGAGGGUCAUUGGAAACUGGGAGACUUGAGUGCAGAAGAGGAUAGUGGAAUUCCAAGUGUAGCGGUGAAAUGCGUAGAGAUUUGGAGGAACACCAGUGGCGAAGGCGACUGUCUGGUCUGUAACUGACACUGAGGCGCGAAAGCGUGGGGAGCAAACAGGAUUAGAUACCCUGGUAGUCCACGCCGUAAACGAUGAGUGCUAAGUGUUAGGGGGUUUCCGCCCCUUAGUGCUGCAGCUAACGCAUUAAGCACUCCGCCUGGGGAGUACGACCGCAAGGUUGAAACUCAAAGGAAUUGACGGGGGCCCGCACAAGCGGUGGAGCAUGUGGUUUAAUUCGAAGCAACGCGAAGAACCUUACCAGGUCUUGACAUCCCAAUGACCGUCUUAGAGAUAAGAUUUUCCCUUCGGGGACAUUGGUGACAGGUGGUGCAUGGUUGUCGUCAGCUCGUGUCGUGAGAUGUUGGGUUAAGUCCCGCAACGAGCGCAACCCUUAUUCUUAGUUGCCAUCAUUUAGUUGGGCACUCUAAGGAGACUGCCGGUGACAAACCGGAGGAAGGUGGGGGAUGACGUCAAAUCAUCAUGCCCCUUAUGACCUGGGCUACACACGUGCUACAAUGGACGGUACAAAGAGCUGCAAUGCCCGCGAGGGUUAGCCAAUCUCAUAAAACCGUUUCUCWGUUCGGAAUUGUAGUUUUGC
This 1139-nucleotide ribosomal RNA is filed under the name Kurthia gibsonii. RNAcentral's name for it is "bacterial SSU rRNA". It matches the Rfam family "Bacterial small subunit ribosomal RNA", at positions 187 to 1308 of the family's 1533-position model. Lineage: Bacteria; Bacillati; Bacillota; Bacilli; Caryophanales; Caryophanaceae. The record is from RNAcentral.